GCAUAUUCUGUGAGCAGGAAAGCAGGGGAUCGCAAGACCUUGCGCUCUUUGAGCGGCCGAUGUCAGAUUAGCUAGUUGGUGAGGUAACGGCUUACCAAAGGCGACGAUCUGUAGCGGGUCUGAGAGGAUGAUCCGCCACACUGGAACUGAGACACGGUCCAGACUCCUACGGGAGGCAGCAGUGGGGAAUUUUGGACAAUGGGGGCAACCCUGAUCCAGCCAUGCCGCGUGAGUGAAGAAGGCCUUCGGGUUGUAAAGCUCUUUCGGCCGGGAAGAAAUCGCAUGGGUUAAUACCCUGUGUGGAUGACGGUACCGGCAUAAGAAGCACCGGCUAACUACGUG
Molecule: ribosomal RNA, 342 nt
Filed under: uncultured bacterium
Lineage: Bacteria
Description: bacterial SSU rRNA
Rfam family: Bacterial small subunit ribosomal RNA
Source: RNAcentral